Acanthosepion pharaonis is the source of this 104-nucleotide non-coding RNA. NCBI's taxonomy places the organism in Eukaryota, Metazoa, Mollusca, Cephalopoda, Sepiida, Sepiidae. The record is from the annotation of a GenBank genome assembly.
AGCCAUAUCGCUUUGAAACACCGAUUCCCGUACGAUCAGCGACGUUAAGCAAUGUUGACCCUUGUCUGUACCUAGAUGGGUGACUGCUCAGGAAUAACAGGUGU